CGAGCGCAACCCUUGUCCUUAGUUGCUACCAUUAAGUUGAGAACUCUAAGGAGACUGCCGGUGACAAACCGGAGGAAGGUGGGGAUGACGUCAAGUCCGCAUGGCCUUUAUGUCCAGGGCUGCACACGUGCUACAAUGGUCGGUACAGAACGAUGCAAUACCGCAAGGUGGAGCAAAUCGCAAAAGCCGGCCCCAGUUCGGAUUGCAGGCUGCAACUCGCCUGCAUGAAGUUGGAAUCGCUAGUA
Molecule: ribosomal RNA, 245 nt
Filed under: Rhodosorus marinus
Lineage: Eukaryota; Rhodophyta; Stylonematophyceae; Stylonematales; Stylonemataceae
Description: partial Bacterial small subunit ribosomal RNA
Rfam family: Bacterial small subunit ribosomal RNA
Source: RNAcentral